GCCGGGCAGGGUCGCGUCUGCCUGUGACCCGAGCGGGGGUAAGGGUGUUUGAACGGCCGGGUUUUCCGGUCAGGCCCCGGUCGCUUACCGAUCACGGCUCCGCUUCAAGCCAGCGGUCCGCAGCGGUCGCUCCCGGAGGGGAGCGGUCGUGGCGGUUGCAGAGGCGGGAAUCGCGUCAGGCGGGAAACCGAGCAGCGCAAACCGUCCGCCGUUGGCAGUGAAGGGAUAGGCUGUGUGAGAGCUGCUGGGGAGUUCCCUGGUUGGGGGCUCCGGUCGAACUUGCAUCC
This 287-nucleotide signal recognition particle RNA is filed under the name Micromonas pusilla CCMP1545. Its description in RNAcentral is "Plant signal recognition particle RNA". It matches the Rfam family "Plant signal recognition particle RNA". The record is from Rfam by way of RNAcentral. Lineage: Eukaryota; Viridiplantae; Chlorophyta; Mamiellophyceae; Mamiellales; Mamiellaceae.